UUAAAUUGAAGAGUUUGAUCAUGGCUCAGAUUGAACGCUGGCGGCAGGCCUAACACAUGCAAGUCGAACGGUAACAGGAAGCAGCUUGCUGCUUUGCUGACGAGUGGCGGACGGGUGAGUAAUGUCUGGGAAACUGCCUGAUGGA
Molecule: ribosomal RNA, 145 nt
Filed under: Escherichia coli
Lineage: Bacteria; Pseudomonadati; Pseudomonadota; Gammaproteobacteria; Enterobacterales; Enterobacteriaceae
Also listed under: 6 other names
Description: partial 16S ribosomal RNA
Rfam family: Bacterial small subunit ribosomal RNA
Source: RNAcentral